CGCCUCCCAAAAGGUAACGGAGGCGCUCAAAGGUUCUCUCAGUACGGUCGGAAAUCGUACGUAGAGUGUAAAGGCAAAAGAGAGCUUGAUUGCAAGACAUACAGGUCGAGCAAGGAUGAAAAUCGGACUUAGUGAUCCGGUGGUUCUGCGUGGAAGGGCCAUCGCUCAACGGAUAAAAGCUACCCUGGGGAUAACAGGCUUAUCUCCCCCAAGAGUCCACAUCGACGGGGAGGUUUGGCACCUCGAUGUCGGCUCAUCACAUCCUGGGGCUGUAGUAGGUCCCAAGGGUUGGGCUGUUCGCCCAUUAAAGUGGUACGCGAGCUGGGUUCAGAACGUCGUGAGACAGUUCGGUCCCUAUCCGUCGCAGGCGUAGGAAAUUUGAGAAGACCUGUCCUUAGUACGAGAGGACCGGGAUGGACGUACCUCUGGUGUACCAGUUGUCCUGCCA
This 448-nucleotide ribosomal RNA is filed under the name Clostridioides difficile. RNAcentral describes it as "partial 23S ribosomal RNA". It matches the Rfam family "Bacterial large subunit ribosomal RNA", at positions 2284 to 2731 of the family's 2925-position model. The record is from RNAcentral. Lineage: Bacteria; Bacillati; Bacillota; Clostridia; Peptostreptococcales; Peptostreptococcaceae.